RNAcentral lists this small nucleolar RNA (72 nucleotides) under Paramormyrops kingsleyae. RNAcentral's name for it is "Small nucleolar RNA SNORD30 (ENSPKIG00000007287.1)". It matches the Rfam family "Small nucleolar RNA SNORD30". From Rfam's summary of the family: U30 is a member of the C/D class of snoRNA which contain the C (UGAUGA) and D (CUGA) box motifs. U30 is encoded within the U22 snoRNA host gene (UHG) in mammals and is thought to act as a 2'-O-ribose methylation guide for ribosomal RNA. Lineage: Eukaryota; Metazoa; Chordata; Actinopteri; Osteoglossiformes; Mormyridae. The record is from RNAcentral.
CGAAAUGAUGAUUAUUCUCUUGGAAUCUCGUUCGUCUGAACCUUCUGCUGAGAAUUCAUUUUGCUGACUGUU